This 465-nucleotide ribosomal RNA is filed under the name bacterium Ellin5254. RNAcentral's name for it is "bacterial SSU rRNA". It matches the Rfam family "Bacterial small subunit ribosomal RNA", at positions 29 to 488 of the family's 1533-position model. The record is from RNAcentral. Lineage: Bacteria; Pseudomonadati; Pseudomonadota; Betaproteobacteria; Burkholderiales; Burkholderiaceae.
AUUGAACGCUGGCGGCAUGCCUUACACAUGCAAGUCGAACGGCAGCACGGGGGCAACCCUGGUGGCGAGUGGCGAACGGGUGAGUAAUACAUCGGAACGUGUCCUGGAGUGGGGGAUAGCCCGGCGAAAGCCGGAUUAAUACCGCAUACGCUCUAUGGAGGAAAGCGGGGGAUCUUCGGACCUCGCGCUCAAGGGGCGGCCGAUGGCGGAUUAGCUAGUUGGUAGGGUAAAGGCCUACCAAGGCGACGAUCCGUAGCUGGUCUGAGAGGACGACCAGCCACACUGGGACUGAGACACGGCCCAGACUCCUACGGGAGGCAGCAGUGGGGAAUUUUGGACAAUGGGGGCAACCCUGAUCCAGCAAUGCCGCGUGUGUGAAGAAGGCCUUCGGGUUGUAAAGCACUUUUGUCCGGAAAGAAAUCCUCUGGGUUAAUACCUCGGGGGGAUGACGGUACCGGAAGAAUA